RNAcentral lists this ribosomal RNA (252 nucleotides) under uncultured bacterium. RNAcentral's name for it is "partial 16S ribosomal RNA". It matches the Rfam family "Bacterial small subunit ribosomal RNA", at positions 524 to 776 of the family's 1533-position model. The record is from RNAcentral.
UACAGAGGGUGCAAGCGUUAAUCGGAAUUACUGGGCGUAAAGCGUGCGUAGACGGUUGCGUAGUCAGAUGUGAAAGCCCCGGGCUCAACCUGGGAAUUGCAUUUGAGACUGCGUAGCUAGGGUGCGGAAGAGGGAAGCGGAAUUUCCGGUGUAGCGGUGAAAUGCGUAGAUAUCGGAAGGAACACCAGUGGCGAAAGCGGCUUCCUGGUCCAGCACCGACGUUCAGGCACGAAAGCGUGGGGAGCAAACAGG